GAUGAACGCUGGCGGCGUGCCUAAUACAUGCAAGUCGAGCGAACGGACGAGAAGCUUGCUUCUCUGAUGUUAGCGGCGGACGGGUGAGUAACACGUGGAUAACCUACCUAUAAGACUGGGAUAACUUCGGGAAACCGGAGCUAAUACCGGAUAAUAUUUUGAACCGCAUGGUUCAAAAGUGAAAGACGGUCUUGCUGUCACUUAUAGAUGGAUCCGCGCUGCAUUAGCUAGUUGGUAAGGUAACGGCUUACCAAGGCAACGAUGCAUAGCCGACCUGAGAGGGUGAUCGGCCACACUGGAACUGAGACACGGUCCAGACUCCUACGGGAGACAGCAGUAGGGAAUCUUCCGCAAUGGGCGAAAGCCUGACGGAGCAACGCAGCGUGAGUGAUGAAGGUCUUCGGAUCGUAAAACUCUGUUAUUAGGGAAGAACAUAUGUGUAAGUAACUGUGCACAUCUUGACGGUACCUAAUCAGAAAGCCACGGCUAACUACGUG
Molecule: ribosomal RNA, 497 nt
Filed under: uncultured bacterium
Lineage: Bacteria
Description: partial 16S ribosomal RNA
Rfam family: Bacterial small subunit ribosomal RNA
Source: RNAcentral